This 253-nucleotide ribosomal RNA is filed under the name uncultured bacterium. RNAcentral's name for it is "partial 16S ribosomal RNA". It matches the Rfam family "Bacterial small subunit ribosomal RNA", at positions 524 to 776 of the family's 1533-position model. The record is from RNAcentral.
UACGUAGGGUGCGAGCGUUAAUCGGAAUUACUGGGCGUAAAGCGUGCGCAGGCGGUUUUGUAAGCCAGAUGUGAAAGCCCCGGGCUUAACCUGGGAAUGGCAUUUGGGACUGCAAGGCUUGAGUGCGGCAGAGGAGACUGGAAUUCCUGGUGUAGCAGUGAAAUGCGUAGAUAUCAGGAGGAACACCAAUAGCGAAGGCAGCUCGCUGGGACGUUACUGACACUGAGGCGCGAAAGCGUGGGGAGCGAACAGG